UCAUGAGGUGGCCGAGGAAGAGGUGGUGAGCUGUAAACUCAUAAACAAGGUGUAGGCCUUUCUUAUGAG
This 69-nucleotide transfer RNA is filed under the name Mytilus trossulus (common blue mussel). RNAcentral's name for it is "tRNA-Tyr". The record is from RNAcentral. Lineage: Eukaryota; Metazoa; Mollusca; Bivalvia; Mytilida; Mytilidae.